AGUGAACGCUGGCGGUAGGCCUAACACAUGCAAGUCGAACGGCAGCACCGUGCUUGCUUGCUGUUCCGGGUGGGGAGUCGCGGGCGGGAGAGGAAUACAUCCGACUCUACUUUUUCGGGGGGCAUCACGUAGGGGGACUUACUCCAGUACAGCAUACGCCGUACGAGGGAAAGCAUGGGAACUUCGGACCUUGCGCGAUUGAAUGAGCCGAUGUCGAAUUAGCUAGUUGGCGGGGUGCAGACCCACCAAGGCGACGAUCCGUAGCUGGUCGGAGUGGAGGAUCAGCCACAUUGGAACUGAGACACGGCCCAUACUCCUACGGGAGGCAGCAGUGGGCAACAUGGGACAAUGGGCGCAAGCCUGAUCCAGCCAGACCGCGUCUGUUAAGAAGGCGUUCGGGUUGUAAAGCCCUUUUGUGGGGUAAGAAAAGCAGUAGGCUAUUACCCCGCUGUUGUGACGGUACUGAAAGAAUAAGCACCGGCUAACUUCGUG
Molecule: ribosomal RNA, 492 nt
Filed under: uncultured bacterium
Lineage: Bacteria
Description: partial 16S ribosomal RNA
Rfam family: Bacterial small subunit ribosomal RNA
Source: RNAcentral